Molecule: ribosomal RNA, 449 nt
Filed under: uncultured bacterium
Lineage: Bacteria
Description: bacterial SSU rRNA
Rfam family: Bacterial small subunit ribosomal RNA
Source: RNAcentral
AACGAACGCUGGCGGCAGGCCUAACACAUGCAAGUCGAACGAAGUCUUCGGACUUAGUGGCGGACGGGUUAGUAACGCGUGGGAACGUGCCCUUUACUUCGGAAUAGUCCCGGGAAACUGGGUUUAAUACCGAAUACGCCCUUUGGGGGAAAGAUUUAUCGCCUUUGGAUUAGCCCGCGUUAGAUUAGGUAGUUGGUGGGGUAAUGGCCUACCAAGCCUACGAUCUAUAGCUGGUUUUAGAGGAUGAUCAGCAACACUGGGACUGAGACACGGCCCAGACUCCUACGGGAGGCAGCAGUGGGGAAUCUUGGACAAUGGGCGCAAGCCUGAUCCAGCCAUGCCGCGUGAGUGAUGAAGGCCUUAGGGUCGUAAAGCUCUUUCGCCAGGGAUGAUAAUGACAGUACCUGGUAAAGAACCCCGGCUAACUCCGUGCCCAGCAGCCGCGGUAA